AAAAAGUGUUCAACUGGUUUUGCACCAAGAUAUGGCCCAUCUUCAAGAGGCGUAACUACAAAGAGCAUGGAAUUCUCUAGUGAAACAGAAAGUAGUGGAGCAUGAACACAACACAGGAAGAUGUUACUUGUCUAGAAGCCAUUUGAGAUUACCAACACCAAACAAUUCCAGUACCAAACUCCAAAAUGAAAUCAAUCAAGCACCGCUAGCAUGAACAUCACCUGGACGCACAAAUUUUGGUAUGAGAGGACAUCAGUACAAUGUAAUUGCUUCCUGCAGUAACGAAUCAUACAUGAACUGAAAAGCAGUACACACGAAAAAUAGAGAACCCUGCUCGAGCAUUAUUAUGUUCAAAGAUGUUGUGCUGCCGGAAUAGAGAUGGUGAGCGAAGAGUAACAGAGGAGGAAGCCAUAUAUACACAUACCGCUUGGCAGCAGAAAGGAUGGGCGCAUGAAUCGCCAUGAAUGCGCGCUGAGAAACUGAGGUAUGAUUGCGAUCAGUUUCCAGAAGAUGAGGCGCCGGCCAUAAUCGCCCGCGAUGCUGGAUCCCGUCGCGCGCCUCCUUUCUCCACGUCCUCCCUUUCCACUUCGCAGUAGGACCAGUCGCCUCGGCUGGAUCGGCCGGCGCGCGAUUCACCCGCAUCCCACGCUGCUGGAUCCCGUUGC
This 665-nucleotide long non-coding RNA is filed under the name Triticum aestivum (bread wheat). RNAcentral describes it as "long non-coding RNA (TAES_LNC018699)". The record is from RNAcentral. Lineage: Eukaryota; Viridiplantae; Streptophyta; Magnoliopsida; Poales; Poaceae.